This 118-nucleotide ribosomal RNA is filed under the name Danio rerio (zebrafish). Lineage: Eukaryota; Metazoa; Chordata; Actinopteri; Cypriniformes; Danionidae. The record is from RNAcentral.
GGCCACAGCCAUAUCACCCUGCAGCCCAAGACCGGUUACUCACUGAAGCUAAGCAGGGCUGAGCCUGGUCAGUACCUUAAUGGAAGACCACAUGGGAAAAGCUAGGUUGCUGUUGGAA